Small nuclear RNA from Bison bison bison, 107 nucleotides. NCBI's taxonomy places the organism in Eukaryota, Metazoa, Chordata, Mammalia, Artiodactyla, Bovidae. The record is from Ensembl.
GUGUUCGCUUCAGCAGCACAUACACUAAAAUUGGACCAAUACAGAGAAUAUUAGCACAGCCCCCAUGCAAGGAUGACAUACAAAUUCAUGAAGUGUUCCUUAUUAAA